UACCGAGGGUGCGAGCGUUAAUCGGAAUUACUGGGCGUAAAGCGCACGUAGUCGGCUUUGCAAGUCGGGUGUGAAAUCCCCGGGCUCAACCUGGGAACUGCAUCCGAGACUGCAUUGCUAGAGUAUGGGAGAGGGAAGCGGAAUUUCUGGUGUAGCAGUGAAAUGCGUAGAUAUCAGAAGGAACAUCAGUGGCGAAGGCGGCUUCCUGGACCAAUACUGACGAUCAGGUGCGAAAGCGUGGGGAGCAAACAGG
This 253-nucleotide ribosomal RNA is filed under the name uncultured bacterium. RNAcentral describes it as "partial 16S ribosomal RNA". It matches the Rfam family "Bacterial small subunit ribosomal RNA", at positions 524 to 776 of the family's 1533-position model. The record is from RNAcentral.